Molecule: unclassified non-coding RNA, 323 nt
Filed under: Hevea brasiliensis (rubber tree)
Lineage: Eukaryota; Viridiplantae; Streptophyta; Magnoliopsida; Malpighiales; Euphorbiaceae
Source: RNAcentral
UUGCCUUUCAGUUCUAGCAAAUCUUGUCUGUACAUUAGGUAUUGACAUCUAGGCGUUGUUAGUCGCAGUAAAAAUUGGAAGACCUACACUUGUUUUUGUGGAAUCGAAUUCUUCUAUUUCAUAAUAAGCAUCAACGCAUUUAGCAUAAAUUUGAAAUCAUUUGAUUGUCAAUGUCCAAGAUUAAUGAGCGUUUCUCCUUUCGUUUAGCAACAAGCAUAGUUUUAAAACCCUAGAACGGGGACCUGGCUAAUUAAUGCUGCUAUAGAGAAAACCUUUUGGAUUUUUGGAUGCUUCUUGGUGGUUGCAAUACUUCUCAUCGUCUU